RNAcentral lists this ribosomal RNA (564 nucleotides) under uncultured Glomus. Its description in RNAcentral is "eukaryotic LSU rRNA". It matches the Rfam family "Eukaryotic large subunit ribosomal RNA", at positions 156 to 636 of the family's 3401-position model. Lineage: Eukaryota; Fungi; Glomeromycota; Glomeromycetes; Glomerales; Glomeraceae. The record is from RNAcentral.
AAACGUUUUCUGCAUCCAGGAUUAGCCUAAAUCCUUCGGGAUAAGGUAUCAUGGAGGGUGAGAAUCCCGUUCAUGGUUAAUCUUAAGGAAGCUCUACGAUACGUUUUCCAAGAGUCGAGUUGUUUGGGAUUGCAGCUCAAAAUGGGAGGUAAAUUUCUCCUAAGGCUAAAUAUUGGCGAGAGACCGAUAGCGAACAAGUACCGUGAGGGAAAGAUGAAAAGAACUUUGAAAAGAGAGUUAAACAGUACGUGAAAUUGUUGAAAGGGAAACGAUUGAAGUCAGUCAUACCAACGGGAAAUCAACCUUUUGAGUUUGUCUCGUGGGCUUUGAAGAGUUUCAAAGCCUUCGGAUUCGCGGGAUUGGGAUCUCUUGGUGUACUUUUUCGUACGGUUAGUCAACAUCGGUUUUGAAUGUCGUAAAAUGACUGGAGGAAUGUAGCUUCGAUCUCGUAUUGAAGUGUUAUAGCCUUUGGUAGAUGUGAUGUUUGAGACCGAGGAUUGCAACGGAUACCCUUUAGGGCUAUUCGUCUGAUCUCUGAUACGUUGCCUUGAUGUUGAAAGCUUG